UACGUAGGGUGCGAGCGUUUGUCCGGAAUUAUUGGGCGUAAAGGGCUCGUAGGCGGUUUGUCGCGUCGGGAGUGAAAACGCCGUGCUUAACACGGCGCUUGCUUUCGAUACGGGCAGACUAGAGGUAUGCAGGGGGAGAACGGAAUUCCUGGUGUAGCGGUGAAAUGCGCAGAUAUCAGGAGGAACACCGGUGGCGAAGGCGGCUCUCUGGACGGAUACUGACGCUGAGGAGCGAAAGCGUGGGGAGCGAACAGG
This 255-nucleotide ribosomal RNA is filed under the name uncultured bacterium. RNAcentral describes it as "partial 16S ribosomal RNA". It matches the Rfam family "Bacterial small subunit ribosomal RNA", at positions 524 to 776 of the family's 1533-position model. The record is from RNAcentral.